This is a long non-coding RNA of Pan troglodytes (chimpanzee), 1725 nucleotides long. NCBI's taxonomy places the organism in Eukaryota, Metazoa, Chordata, Mammalia, Primates, Hominidae. The record is from Ensembl.
CCAGGGUUUGAAGAAAGACACUGUAGCUUUUGGAUUCAGCAACGGAUCUUUCAAGAAAACAGUAUGGAGGGAUGACUCACUCCCCCCAUGGAGGCUGCCCUCUAGUUCGUCCUUUAGAGGAAGCAUGACCAAGGGUCUGCUAGUACUUUUCUCUCCCUCUCUAAGAAUUUCCUCAGGAGAGGAAAAAGUUAGCUUUCUUUUCUCUGCUCCCGAGUGCCACGGCCUGCAGUGCGUGACCAGUCCUCGGCACAGAGUCACUCAGGGCUCAUGGUAGAUUCUUAGCAGUCACAGCCAAUAGCUGCGCAGUGUGGCAGCAGCUGAGAUCCAUACUGCAGCCUGAAAGUUGUGUUUCAGCUUCUGAGGUUACAAGUGUAUCCAGUGUUUACAUCAGAGAUAAAGCCCCCUUUCCCCUCUCUCCUACGGGAGCCCUCAACAAGACAGAUACACGGGUUGGGUGGAGUGAGACCACAUGCAGCAGAGGCAAAGCUUGCUAAAAGAGAGAGAAGGAGGAGGGGGAGAGGGAGGAGGCGGCACGGCGUCCCUUGGCAGCUCCGUGCAUGCUGCGGCAGUUGCAACAGGAGAACCGAGUACCAGUUGCUCCACACUUUAUCACUUUGCAUUGCUCUUUCUCCUCCCUUAAGUGAAUUUCCAUUUUGAGGGUACAGCUCCACAGGAGAAAGGUGUGGUGGUGGUAGUGGUGGAGGGUGUCUGGGCGGGGGAUGGUGGUGCGACGGGAGUUGGAAUGUCCAGUGUGGGGAAGCAAAGGAGUGCCUACUAGGAUGCGAAUACCACUUGGCCCUGGGUUCGCUCCGCUUUAGCCUUCCCCUCUCGCUGGGGAGAAACAGGCGGUUUGUGAGGGAGACUGAGAGAGGGGCGUGUUUGUGGUGGUGGCGGCCCAUCGGGGGUCCUUGUCCUCUCCGAAUACCCGGACUGCUGAGGGGAAGGGCCGGGGGGGCCCCGGCGGUUGCCAUGGUGACGCAGGGUCGGCGGCUCCGCGCCGUAGAGACAAAGCCGCCCGCCCGCCAGCCCGCUAGCUCCUCGCGCGAGCUCCUCCUCCACGGGAACCUCCCUCCCCUCCCAGGCGCCGCCGCAGCCGGAGCGGCUCCCGGGCCCUGGGCCGCCGGCGGCCAGGUAAGGCGAUCGCGCCCGCGGCCGGGGAGGGGUCGGCGGGACGCCGGGUGGGGUGGGGUGGGGUGGGGUGCGGCGGGGCCCGCCCGGCUCGCGGAGGGAGGGGUGCCCGCACUCGGCUGCGCCCGAGUCCCCGGGGGCCCGUCCCCACCGAGGAAACGGCCGGCGGCCGCCCCCGACGCCGCUGCCGCUGCCGCCGCCGCCGCCCCCGCGGCUUCCCCAACGCCGGGGCAGCAGCCAGCCCCGCAAUCCUGGACGGCGCCGGGCCGCCCAAGCGCGCCGAGGAGAGGGGGCGGCAAACUUCGGGCCGAGCGGCGCCGGGGCCCGCGCGCGGAGUCUCCCUCCGGGCACCACGGGGGCCGCCGUCCUGGCACCAACUUGAGGGGCUGUGCGGCGGCGGGCGGCUGCGGAGCGCCCGCGCGGGCUGCACCUGCUCAGGGAGCUGCUCCUCUGUUGUUGUUGUUAUUUUCCUUCUUGGCGUGCCAUCGAGGCUUUUGGGGGGAAAAAAGGAAGAAAUACUUGUGUUGGCUGCAUUUCCAGGGAUGCUACCAGAGCUCAAGGCUGUCACCUGGUCUUGCCCAGAAGAGCCAUUCUUAG